RNAcentral lists this ribosomal RNA (298 nucleotides) under uncultured bacterium. RNAcentral describes it as "partial 16S ribosomal RNA". It matches the Rfam family "Bacterial small subunit ribosomal RNA", at positions 335 to 649 of the family's 1533-position model. The record is from RNAcentral.
AGCCCUACGGGACGCAGCAGUAGGGAAUAUUGCACAAUGGGGGAAACCCUGAUGCAGCAACGCCGCGUGAGUGAAGAAGUAUUUCGGUAUGUAAAGCUCUAUCAGCAGGGAAGAAGAAAGACGGUACCUGACUAAGAAGCCCCGGCUAACUACGUGCCAGCAGCCGCGGUAAUACGUAGGGGGCAAGCGUUAUCCGGAUUUACUGGGUGUAAAGGGAGCGUAGACGGCCAGACAAGUCAGAAGUGAAAGCCCAGGGCUCAACCCUGGGACUGCUUUUGAAACUGCCGGGCUGGAGUGC